CUGCACGUUCUGCAUUGCGUGGUUUUCGUGCGGUGGGUCAGCAUAAACCUGUCCUUGCUCUCUCACAUCUCUAAACAUGGAAAGAAACGAACUAAGACCUUCAGACGAAGCACCUCCCAAGAUCCAUAAUAAUAAUGAACUGAAUGAACUCAUAGUUCUGGGAUUAGGUCCAGCUUCAGCUUGCUGUAGAUCGGGUUGUGCUGGAAUCUGCAUAUCGGGUUUCCGUUCUGGCUUAUGUUUUCAUUUUCCGACUGUCUUCGAGGCCCAGCAGCUUCUCCAGCUCCAUUGCUGGUACUUCUUGGUCAGAUCCAGGUCUCAACCUGGCAUAGAGGUCGGAUCGGGUCGAACUGGGCCAGGAUUCCUGGUGUUUAGUCUUGUAAUGGUGUAAAGUAGAUGCAAGUAUAGUUGAAGAUGUGAUAUGGAAAUCCGGAUGUUGCUGAAGCUGAGACCGCCGGUUUUGCAUAAACCUUUGAAGGGUGGGUACCUAGAAGCAUCGUAUAGUGCAACAAAUGUAACAUUUUAGAAUUGUGUAACAUUAUCAUACUUAUAUCGAACAUGAUCUUAGAUAGUAAUAACAGUGUUAUAACCUACACAUUAUGGACAGCAUUUUAUGUAAUGUCAUCAUCAAUUUUGAACUUAAAAUUGUAAAACUAAAUUAAUUACAAACAUAUUUUCCCCAUAUUUCAAACUCAUUAAACUCCAAAACAAAAGGAAAAAGAACUCUAUUCAGAAAACCAAAACAUGAAUUUUCCGAAAAAUAAAUGCAUGUUGUGGUCUGCAAAUGCAAAAGAUACAUUGUUUAUUUCUGAGCUCUUCCUCUCCUCUUUAGUCUUUNNNNNNNNNNNNNNNNNNNNNNNNNNNNNNNNNNNNNNNNNNNNNNNNNNNNNNNNNNNNNNNNNNNNNNNNNNNNNNNNNNNNNNNNNNNNNNNNNNNNNNNNNNNNNNNNNNNNNNNNNNNNNNNNNNNNNNNNNNNNNNNNNNNNNNNNNNNNNNNNNNNNNNNNNNNNNNNNNNNNNNNNNNNNNNNNNNNNNNNNNNNNNNNNNNNNNNNNNNNNNNNNNNNNNNNNNNNNNNNNNNNNNNNNNNNNNNNNNNNNNNNNNNNNNNNNNNNNNNNNNNNNNNNNNNNNNNNNNNNNNNNNNNNNNNNNNNNNNNNNNNNNNNNNNNNNNNNNNNNNNNNNNNNNNNNNNNNNNNNNNNNNNNNNNNNNNNNNNNNNNNNNNNNNNNNNNNNNNNNNNNNNNNNNNNNNNNNNNNNNNNNNNNNNNNNNNNNNNNNNNNNNNNNNNNNNNNNNNNNNNNNNNNNNNNNNNNNNNNNNNNNNNNNNNNNNNNNNNNNNAAAAUCAAUAUUACCUUAUUCAUCGAUCAACUUCAGAUUGUAAGCUUCAGAUAGAGAGGAUUUAUAAGUCUUAGAUGGCAGUUCAUUUGCCUCAGCAAGUUCAUAGACCUUAUUAAUAAAUGCUUGAGUGCUUUCAGCUGCUGCAGGAGAUCUAAGAAUGUAAUUAUGCUCAUAAAAUGAGCAUACUUGAUCUAAAAACUCCAAUACUUUCUUCUUAUGACUGCAAAAGCAUCAAUAAUGCAAGUAAUAUCAGAUCAGAGUUAAGUGUAAAGCAUAUUACAAGAUUCAAUUUCAUGAAAUAAAAGCAUAUAAAAACACUAAGACUUAUUGAGACCUAUAUGAAGCCGCAGUAAUCUCAAAGGUCUUCACAAGUAGAAUAGUUGGACAAUUAGCAUCCUGACCAGCAGUAAUAGCACACCGACACGAGCAUUUUUGGACCCUUGAAUCUGGUAAUAGUACAGGAUUGCUAGACCAUUAAUAAUGAUAGUGAUGACACGAAUAAUACCAUUAGAAGUUACAAUCAACAAGAACGAAAGCAAAGUCAUGGCAUAAUGAUACCAGAUAGCGAAUUGCUUCACGAAGUAACUUUAUUCCUUUUUCUAGAUUGACAUCAACAGCAAGAAGAUGAGUUACAGGCUUCACAUCAUCUACAGCGGGAGUUGAUCAAGUCAUUAAACAUCUUAGAAUUCAAAUAACGUGAGGAAACAAUAAAGUGAAAUUAAUAACUAACAUAACGUCUGCUUACGUUCCUGGAGAAUGUAAGUAAUUAAUUUCAUUCAGACAGAUUCCCCUCCAAGGACUGGUGAAGCUAGAGAUACAAACCUUGCUUGACUUUGCCACCAGCAAUAAAUCUACAUCCAAGCAAUAUCAUAUUAGUACAAACAUAUCAUAGUAACAAGAUCUAAAUUUAGAUGGCAGUGUUACAUAAACCUAAUGACAAUUUACCUGGGGGUUAUAGCGACUGACCACCAUUUUCAGAUAGGAAUUUGUCCAGUACAUUAGUGUGAGAAUUUAUUUUCCCAUAGUAACUUGUUCUUGUAUCCUGGGAAGCUCAUCAUUCAUGGCAUUUAUAAGAGCAUCCUCCAAAAUAAACACAAAAAGGCUAUUUAUUUGAACUGAAAUUUUAAAAAACUUUAUGAUGAAUGCUAUAAAAUCAUCAUGAUAGAAGUCAAUAAUAGAAAAAAAAAAAAAGGAAGAAGAAAGAUACAUAUAAAUAAUUAAGUACUAGAUAUGGUAAAUCAUCAAAGGAACUAAGACAUAGAAGUAAUCUGCAAAAUCUAAACGUAAAAGAAACUAGCAUACCAUUAUAAUUUUCUAUAAGGGAAACCACAUUUAAAAGAAAUAAAAUACAGGCUGGUAAAACGGACUCAUCAAAUAUAGGUGCCAAUUAAGAACUUUCCCAAAAAGUUAAUAAGCCCAAACACAUAAAGGGACACCAAAUAAUAAAAAAGCUACAAGUUAGGAAAGUAUGGCACAAUUGGAUAUAUGAGUGUUAUAGGUACCUCACUAGAAUCAAAGACAAGACCAUUCAUCAAGAGGCAACACUGCAACUUGCUGACACCCAGCUUAAAAACAAACAAUGAGCUCUCUUGAGACAAUUCCUUAAAACUCUGUUCCUUUUCCAGCUUUAACAGUAUUUCUUGUGGUGGAGAUUUAGCUUUCGGUCUACAGAAACAACACAUAUUGAUUAACCAAGCAAAUAUAAAUCUCCCAAAAUUAGAGGAGCAUCAAAGGAGAAAAUAUGACCAGCAUGUAUAAGCAGUAUAAGUCAACAAAUAUUUUCAAAACUUACAAUAAUGUUUCCACAAAUGCCCCUUCAAUAUGGUGCAUUUCAAGAGCCUCAUCUGUAGAGUCAGCAGAUUCUGUUCGUAAUCGAUUUAUCUAUCACAAAGUACGUCAAAGUUUUAGUUAACACUGUCAAAUGCAUCAUGUUAGUAAAUUGUGAUACAGCAGAUUCAGCCAAGGGAAUAAAGGAAUCAUGCAAGGUGUGUCAUACAUCCAUUAUAGUUCUUAAAAUCAUCCAUAGUUUUGCAAUCCUCCUUCCUAGUAGAAAAGAUAGUAAUCUCAGCCUAAUAUAGAGAAGGUUUCAGAUUUCCCCUCACUCUCCCUCCCCCACUUAAAGGAUCCAUUUAUGCCUACAAAGUAUAGAAACAAGUUAUUUCCUAUUCUAGGGCAUAACAUGGCAUUUUUAGAGAUAAUAAAAAUAACAAUAAGAGCAGCAGCAGCAGGAACAAAAAACAAAAAAGUAUUAUGUUGAGUACAUGUCAUUAGCAAAAUAAAUAAAUAAACAAAAAUUUGUGGAUAGACUCGUCACAUUAAAAUUUCAAGUACAAAGUCUACUUGUUUAAAUCCUAUUAUGAUUUGCAAAAUACAUGCCAAAAGCUUAUACAUGCGAUGGGUAUAUCAAUAGCUGAAAGAGAAAGAUGAUUUUGUAGGAUGAAAAUAAGUACCAUAACAAGUUUUAAGUUAGUCAAGGCUAACCUCAAACAUCUUUUUCUCCCAAGCAUAUAAAUUUCAGAAAGUAUUGCAGAUAAACAACACAGAAACACUGGAAUACAAUAUAGCAAAAACUAAAGAGAAAUAAAAUUUACAUCCAAUCAACAAUAGAAGCUACAAGCAUAAAAAGUGGCUAAUCAAACCCAUACAUUGCUCAAAAAUUGGAAAGCUGAUUGAAUCCCGUGGUUUUCCUUAAUAUAGAUGAAAAGUCGUAUAAUCUGCAAAGAAAUUGCAAUAAACAAUGUGCAUAAGCACCAUAAGUUGCAAACCAGAAACCUCAAUGAUACUUGACAGCAGAAUGAAGUAUUGAAAUAACUAAGGAGAAACCAUGGUUCAGCAUAACAAUAUCAAAUUGCACAGAAGUUGAAACAGAGAACAUUAGACUAAGUUAAGCAACUACCAAACUGGAUUUAUCAUCCUCAAGUUCACCAUCAUGCUCAGAUGAAUGAAGUUCGCCACCACUCUGUUCAAUCUUUUUGAUGAAUUGUGUAGAAUACAGUAUCACCCCAAAUCUCAUUGGGAAACUAUUCUCAUAGAAAGAUGUAAUCAUAUCGAUAGACUGCAAGGUUCCAGUUGGAAAUUAUGAUAAGAAAACUUAUCUGAGAAAGAGAAUGAAAUGAGAGAGGGAGGGAGGGAGAUGGAAUCAUCCAGAAGAUGGAAGAAAACAUGCCUGAAGACCAGAAACUGUUGAUGGAUCAAGAACAUAAACUGCAUGGAACAGAUUCUUACGAAUAUAACGUAGCUGGCCGGGAAAGACUGGCAUUAAGAUCUGCACAAAAUGUUAUCAGAAGACAUGCUUUCCAGCAACCAUUAACAGAAGCUCAAACAAGCAGAACCUUCAUAUUCUUUAGAGAGAUUCUAGGAUAAGUUAACAUACAUCAUUUAUAUUACUCCUCCAACGCCUAUACAUAGCAUCCUCCUCCAAGUUAUUGAGAUAAUGAACAUGGUCAGAACGAAAAUCAACUCGGAAUGCAUCAGACUCAGGAGGAGUCAUAGUUGAUAGAAGUUUCCUUAUAGUGCUACGGGGGAGCUGAAAAUAAUAGAAUCAACAGGUUAAUAUAGAGGAUGAUGCGUGAGAUAUAUCCCAAAAUUACCCAAUAAGAAGCUCAUGUAUAAUAGAAGGUCUUCUAAAAACUAGAAAGAAAGAGAUUCAUCAAAUACAUAUGAUCAUUAAGCAUGUUAAUUGGUCAGAAAUAGCAGAACAGGGUAAGCAAUAGCAGAAUCAAUUUGAUUUUAACUGUUAACAAUAAAUUAAACACGCAAUGUAGAACAGAUUCAUAAUAGGUUAAUUACCACAACAAAUGGCUCUUAUAUAUUACAUUCUUGCAUUCUUCACAUGAAAUUAAUUAUCCAAAUCCUGAUUGAAAGAAACAUUAGAUAUAUUUUCCAGGGAGCUAUAAAACAAACAUCUAGGCAUUCUGCUUCAAUAUUUACACUACUAUCCCCUGUUCUCAAAUACUGCAUUUUCAAACUUAUUUGAACAAGUUAGGAAACGUGUAUCUUUGUUCAACUAAAGGCAGAAGGGGAAUGAAAGGAAAAAAAAGUUACUAAUUUAGAUAUUUCAUUAAUAAAGUCAUAUAUUUCGAGUAAAGUGGAUAUGAUAUAAAGGAACACUUUUUAGCAGCUUUAACUAAUCAAUCAAACAAAAUGAAACUUAGAAUUACUAACCUUCAACUUUGAAAACUGAUCAGCCAAGGAUAGCUCCUGAUGGACCAGGUCAAUCAAUCUAAGAAAAAAUUGAUUGCAAGAAAUAUAAUAUCAGAGAUUCAGAAGUAAUACUAUAUCGAUCAAGUUGCAUAAAGGAAUUCAAGUAAAGCAUAAAAACCCUUGAAAGGGUGAAAAGCAUUAAUAUAGAAAUAAGAAAUUCCACAGUGAUAAUAUCCCUUGAUUACAUUAAAAAAUUCAACAGUAUAAUGCUUGCAAAGAAUACAUCACAAUAUCAAACAUCAGGUUUUAAUCAGGAAAAUCCUAAUGCAGCUGCAUACAUUGUUUUUACUUCUAAGAAAGUCUUCUUUAAAUUAAUUCCAAAUUUCAUGAUAGGGUUUGUGAUAGAAUUCAAAAUUUAAGGACUGAAAAUCACAGCAGAUGAUAAUUGACUUUAAUCCAGAAAGUACUAAAUUUACAUGAUAAAAGCUAUUCUGUUUUAUUUUAAAUUUUAACAAAUAAAUUUGGUUAAAAGUUUUUUGGCAACAAUUGCCAAAAUCUUCAGGUAUAGAGGGGCCAAAGAUAAAUAUUUAAAAAUGUCAUGAAUUCUAAACAGAAAAUCUUCAGUGAGAAGCAAAAGAAAGAAGGGAGAAAAAGCAUUACAGAUAAAGGUCAAUAUCUUCGAUAUUGAUUAAAGCACCAUUCAGAGCCAUUAAGGACUUGCCAGGAGGGAUCAUUCUCUGGUUUGCAAUUAUCUCAUCUUUAACUGAAUCAUUGAGCUGAAAAAUGCAUAAAUUUGUAUAAAUUGAUUAGAAAAACAAAUUUGGGCACUUUAUUGUUGGAGUCUAUAUUAAAAAACAUUACAGCUGCUAAAACAUUGAGAGAGUCACCAAGAAGUUACCUUCAUCCGAGAUAAGGAAGACACUACACUAGGAAAAUUUUGGUUGAUUUCUUGCAUUGACUGCAAAGGAUCAGAGGCUUGUACUAUUCUCUGUGCAGUUUGAUGUCCUAAAUCUGUUUUAAGGGAAAUUUUGCAUUUUCAAGAUUAGACAUGCAUAACUAGAAAGAAAAAGAAAACCUUAAGUAAAAAGUACCUUUCAGCUCCCAAACAUCAAGUGUGUCCGAUAUUGUUGAUGACAAUAGAUAAUCCCUGAAUGCCAUUAUCUCUGAGGUAAGGUCAGGUUUGCGCUCCUGCAAAAGGAAAUAGAAGAAAAUGUUAACUUCAGGACAACAUAGGUGCAAGUUUUAUGUUAGAAAUCAUUAUGACCAGAGUUGACUCUUAUCCAAGGAGAAAGGUCCACUCCUUUAAGUUAAUAUUUGAGAAACUAAUGUUCCCUGAAACAGUUGCAACUUGUAUUGGAAAAAAAUAAGAGGAAAAAAAGAGGGAAGGUUGAUUAUGGCCAACCAGAAUUUUUGAAAAUAUAAACCCUCUGACUUCUUGACUAAGAUCUUCAGUCCGAGGAUCUUCUAGUGUUACACCUGCAAUUCAAACCUCAAGUCCUUAGAUACCUCAAUCAACGCAAUAAAGCAAGCAAUUAUGAAGCAAACAAGCAUGCAAGCUAACCAAAAAAAAAAUCCAUGAACGUAGAGCAUCUAUUUGAGAUACUCACAUUUAUGAUAAAACACCAAUAGGCAUUCCCAACAAGUUAUUGUAUUACAAUUGAGAACCAUAAAGAAGAUAAGGUGUAUUCAUAUAGAACAAAUCCUUUAAAAGAAAGGACUAAUCAAGGUUGAAAGUUUCUGAAAGCCAUAGAGCAAACAACUUAGAACAGUUCCAAGACAGGAGUGUUUGUAUUAGAGAGCACAAUAGAAGCAAAGAAGAGCUAUAAAUAAACCAAAACAUCAACCACAAAAAUCCUGCUACAUCUACCGAGGGAAUAUCACAGUAGAAUCCAAGUGCAAAGAUCAAUAGUGGCAAUUGACAAAAGGAAAUAUACAAUAACCACGUAAUACAUAGAAGCACUGGAAAAAUAAUAAUACAUGGAAAAAAAACCUAUUGACUAAAUUAAUAAUACAGAGGUCAUGCAGAAGUGCUGGCUUUUAAAUUUGCAAUUGCUCCACCAAGAGUGCUAACCUUUCUUUACGGUGCUGUCAUCCAUGGCCUUAUACUCCAUAUUCUUCAAUGCAAGCUCUACACCAUAGCCACCCAAGUUUAAGGAAUCUCUUGCACCAACAGCCCCACAUUGGCCAACUUCUCCUUCACAACCAGAAGGUAAUACUGGUCUGACAACAUACUUAACUUUUCCCUGGACAUAAAAUGAGGUAAAUCAGAGAAUUUAUAACAGCCAUUGCACCAAAAAGUGUGAUAUCAUAAUCCUUAUAAAAGAGAUGAAGGGAAGCCUAGUAAGGGGAAAAAACUGUAUGCAAAUAGUAUUCUGUCAGAUCAGUAGCAUGCAGUAAUUCAAACAAAGCAUAUAAAUGAAUCAAUUAGAUCACGCUGAGUCAGCUUAAAACAAAUGAUGAAGGUUGCCACUAAGCACCAGAUGAAUCUCAAAUAAGUUAUUAAUUCAAACAACAGGUCUAGAAUAUUUUGAUUGCAAUAGGUAGUUUUAUUUCAGAUUAUGCUUAUCAGUUAAUAUGUGAAUAAAUAUUGUUCAUAAAACAAUAAAACUAACAGGAACUAUCAAUAUAGCAAAAAUCAAAUGUGUCAUCUGGCUUAUGAGUAAAAGAAAAUCUAAAUCAAAGAAUGAGAAGGCAACCUCUUUGGCAGCUUGAACUAGGGUAACAUGGAACUCCCUAAAACAUUCUGUUCCAAGAGCACCAUACAGAAUAGCAACAGGGCUCGCAAUAUUCGAAUCAAAAUGAAUGUGAUCAAAUUCAUAUAAUUCAGGCUGCUGAAAGGAGUCUCCAUUGCUGGAAACCAACAAAUGAAAGUAACAACUAAUCAAAUUAUAAGUAACUUUUAGGCGUUCCAAACUGAAAAAGAUAGUUUUGGGAAAUAAAACAUAUAUACACAAACAGCAACAUUACACUUCAUUAGGUCCCAGAAGCCACGACUGAAGUUCUGCAACCUCAAAGAACAACUCCUCACCAACGUCCACCCAACAACAUUUCCCAGGAGGGCUUUUCGGGUUUACACCGACAAGCAAGGGAUCCAAUUUUUUAGUUACCACAGCUUCACUAUCAUCAACCCCACUCGCAUUGUGCGAAUAACUAUCAUCAGACAACGGAAAAGAAGAAAGAGACUCCUCGGCUAACUGACGGUAAAGCACCAAUCUAGGAGAUGCUGAUCUCAAAGUCAAGGAAAAUUCAAAUAACGAUGCCAAUUGUUCACUCAAAAGAGAGCUGCCAUGUUUCAAAAUUUUCACAAGGCAAUCUUUAGCUGAAUGAGAAUCAUCAUCAGUUUUUCCAACAAGUAGCCAAUCAUCAAUGAACUCCCAAAACAGAUUCUUCGACUCUUUUGAAAGUAAUUCGCUGUAACAAUUAGGGAAAAAAAGACAAAUAAAUAAUCCAUUCCCAAAAUUACGCUACGAGAAUAACAUCUAACAUAAACAAAUAAUCAAAUACCAACAGAUACGAAUUCCACAACAAGGGAAUCAUAAACCAAGUAAGGACAAUAAGAAGAAAAGGGAACAGACCCGGCUUCCAAAAGCAGUGGAGUACCGGACCAUUUAGCGCGAAUCGCAACUUGAACGUUCUUUGGUCUGCGAUUUUGAGCUCCAACAAAAGUGAAACCAGAAAUUAACAAGCAAGUGAGGAGGAUCAAAAUGCAAAACCGAGAUCUGAAACAGGUAUCCAUUGGGGUAAAAUCAAAGGAGAUUUUCCUAUUGGAUUCUAUAUGGUUUCAUAUAGAAAAUGGAUCCAACAUUUAUGGUGAGCAAUUAGAGAUCGAGACUUCGACGAGUAGUAAGUGACAGAGGGACGACUAUCUGAGAAGACUUCGAAGAAAAAAAGCAAAGGCAGGGCGUUUAUUGGCGGCUUUAUCGUCUUUGUAUAGAAAAAUGAAGGGCAUUUUCGGAAAUCUAGAACUUUGAAAUGAAGUAUUUUAUUUGGGUUAAUUGUAUCAAAUUAGUCCCUCUAUUAUUAAAUAAAUAAAUUUAGUUCAUAUACUAUUAAAAAUAAUCAAAUUAAGUCCAAACGGUAUGAGACUUAACGUUUUCUAUGUAAAAAAUAUCUUAAAAUUUAAUUAUUUUAAUUCCAAACAAAAUAUUCUAUUUAUAAAAUCAUAAAAACAUUAAAUUAUUAACUCUAUUAAAUAGUAAAUAAUAUUUUUUAAAACAAUAAAUGUUAAGUCUAUUCUAAUUUGACAUUAUUUUAUUUUCUCUAAUAAUAUAAAAACUAAAUUGAUCCAUUUAAUAAUAAAGAGAUUAAUUAGAUACAAUCUCUAUAAUAUAGGGAUCUCCCAAUUACUUUUACCAUUUUAUUAGUUAGAAUCACAUCAUUUUACAUUAAAUUUAAAGCAUGUAAUUUGUGAUGGAAGAUUGUUAAUAAGUGGAUUUUCUCUUAGAUAUUUUCAUGAAUCAGGUUAUCUAUUAAUGAUGGAAGGCUCACUCGAAAUAUUAGGCCUAAAAAAUGAACUUAGACAAAAAAAAUUAAACUCGUUUAAAAUAUGAGUCGGACUCGGGCUUGAACAUUUAAGGCCUGAGCUUAGCCUAACCCAAUCCUUUUUAAAUUUAUAAUACUUUAUAAUUUAUAAUACAUUAAAAAAUAAAUCUAUAUUAAAUAUAUAAUACUCUUUUAAUGUAAACAUUAAAAUAAUGUUAAGAUGACUAUAUAAAAAAUUAAUAAAUAAAAAAUAAAAAAUAUUAAAAUAAUAUAAUAUAAAUAUUUUUAAAAAUAAAAUGGGUAGGGCCUAAAAUGGGUUUGGGUUAGUCUUUUGCAAAUAUUGACAAGUUUAGGCAAAAUUCUAAGCCCAGAUUUCUGGCGAGCUUGGGCAAUUAUAAAGUAUGUUAAUAUCAUGCUUAGGUCCAACCAAACCCCGCCUAACCCGGCCCAUGAAUAUCUCUAUUUUUCUCUCAUCCUUUGUUACUCGAGUUUAACGCUUUUAUCUGAUGUGGUAAUUUUUGUUAUUUUUUAGUCUAAUUUAAUAUAUGUAUUUAUAAAAGUUAUAUAUAUUCGUACCCAAAAGUAAUAUUUGAAUGUUAAUACUUGAUUUGAUGAAAGUUAAUUACUAAUAUUAUUAGGUUUUAAUUUUCAUGAUUCUGUUAAUAGAAUAAUUUUAGUGUUAAUUCUGAAUUUGUUUAAUUUUGCGAUUAAUUUGUUCAAUACAAUCCAAUGGAUGUGAUUUAAUUCCGAUUUUAAGAUUGAUUUGAUGAAAGUUAAUUGCUAAUAUUAUUAGGUAAUUAUAAAUUUUCAUCAAAUCAACUUUAAAAUCCGAAUUAGAUACUGAAAUAUUAUCUUUAGGUACUAAAAUGUAUAAUUUUUGUCAAAUACAAGUAUCACAUUAGAAAAAAAAAAGCAUCGAACUUAUGCAUUAAGCCUUUAUUUUUUUAACUUUAACCCCAACUACGUUAAGCUCCAAUUAAAUAUAAAGUUAAGUCGGAUCGAACUUUAAACUCAAAACAAACUCUAAUAAUAUUGUUUUCUCUAGAAUUAAGAUGUUUAAUUAAUUCUUUAUAUUUAAUUUGUUUUAUUUUUCAUUUAAUAAAAAUAGUUGAAAAUCUUUAAAUAUUUUAAAAAGUUAUUUUUUUUAAAAAAUUGAUGAAUUGAAAUUUUCCUCUUAAAUAAUUAAUUAAAAUUGGAAACGCAAAACAAAGUGAUACCAACUUAAUUGGGACAAAAACUCAUAUUCUUUCCAAAUUAAUACAGCAUAAAUUGUAGUGUACAAAUCUAUUAUAUAAAAGCGAAAUAUAAGGGAGUCAAUAGAGGUGCUUAUGGGCCGGAUUGGGUUAGGUUUGAGUCGAUUCUAAGCAUGAUAUUAACAUACUUUAUAUUUGUUCAAGUUCGGCCCAACCCGAAAUUUGGGCCUAAAAUUUUGCUUAAACCUGUCCAUUUUUACAAAAGAUUAACUUAAGCCCAUUUAAGACCCGCCCAUAUUAUUUUUUAAAUUAGAAAAUAUUUUAUUUUAUUUUAAUAUUUAAUAAUUUUAUUCAUCUGUUAUUUAUUGAAAUUUUUUAUAUAGUUAUCUUAACAUUAUUUUAAUAUUUACAUUAGAGUACCACUAUAUAUUUAGUAUAAGUUUAUUUUUUUAAUGUGAUCUAAAUUACAAUAAAAAUAGAAAAAUUCAAAUUCAAAUAAAAAUAAAAAUUAAUAUAUGAUAAAAUUAUAUUUUAACCCCUAAAAAAUUAUAUCUAAUCUCUUUAAAAAUGAUAAAAUCAUAAAUUAAUACAUGAUAAAAUUAUAUUUUAACCUCUAAAAAAAUAUACUUUAAUUGCAAUCCCCCUACUGUUUAAAAAAAUAUUUAAAAAAUUACUUUUAUUAAAAACUUACCAUUUAUUUUAAAAAUAAUUAAUUAGUUUCAUUAAAAACGUUUUCCAUUAUUGUUCAAGAACUCCAUUUUAUUUUAAAAAUAUAUUUUAUAAGUUAUUUUCACCAUCAUAGUAAAUAUUAUUUAAUUUAAUAAUAUUUAAUUCAUUUUUUAAAAAAAAUCAAAAUAUGACCAUUGUUAUUUUUUCAAAAUUAAACCAUUAUCAUCAUAAUCCAAUCCUUCUGCAUUGUAAUACUUUUUUUAGAAAUUGAAUAUUAAUCUUGUAAUAUUAAAGUUCAUCAUUUGCCAAAUAGUUAAUAACAUAACAUAAAACUUCAAAAAAGUCUUAACAGUUAUGUUUUUUUUAAUACAAUUUCCUACUUUUAAGUUGGAAUUGUUCAUUGGUUUUGUGCCAUGUAUUAAUGCAAGUUAUGCUUUAUAUAUGAUUAGAACAUUAGCUAUACAACAUACAUCUAAAACACUAAACUCUACCAACCUUCAUCUCUUUCGUAACGGCACCUGGGGCUACUGCACGUUCUGCAUUGCGUGGUUUUCGUGCGGUGGGUCAGCAUAAACCUGUCCUUGCUCUCUCACAUCUCUAAACAUGGAAAGAAACGAACUAAGACCUUCAGACGAAGCACCUCCCAAGAUCCAUAAUAAUAAUGAACUGAAUGAACUCAUAGUUCUGGGAUUAGGUCCAGCUUCAGCUUGCUGUAGAUCGGGUUGUGCUGGAAUCUGCAUCGGGUUUCCGUUCUGGCUUAUGUUUUCAUUUUCCGACUGUCUUCGAGGCCCAGCAGCUUCUCCAGCUCCAUUGGCUGGUACUUCUUGGUCAGAUCCAGG
RNAcentral lists this long non-coding RNA (12660 nucleotides) under Gossypium barbadense (sea-island cotton). RNAcentral describes it as "long non-coding RNA (GBAR_LNC015836)". Lineage: Eukaryota; Viridiplantae; Streptophyta; Magnoliopsida; Malvales; Malvaceae. The record is from RNAcentral.